RNAcentral lists this ribosomal RNA (468 nucleotides) under uncultured bacterium. RNAcentral describes it as "partial 16S ribosomal RNA". It matches the Rfam family "Bacterial small subunit ribosomal RNA", at positions 28 to 507 of the family's 1533-position model. The record is from RNAcentral.
GACGAACGCUGGCGGCGUGCUUAACACAUGCAAGUCGAACGGAAAGGCCCUGCUUUUGUGGGGUGCUCGAGUGGCGAACGGGUGAGUAACACGUGAGUAACCUGCCCUUGACUGUGGGAUAAAUUUAGGAAACUGGGGCUAAUACCGGAUAGGAGCUCCUGAUGCAUGGUGGGGGUUGGAAAGUUUCGGCGGUUGGGGAUGGACUCGCGGCGGAUCAGCUUGUUGGUGGGGUAGUGGCUUACCAAGGCUUUGACGGGUAGCCGGCCUGAGAGGGUGACCGGCCACAUUGGGACUGAGAUACGUCCCAGACUCGUACGGGAGGCAGCAGUGGGGAAUAUUGCACAAUGGGCGGAAGCCUGAUGCAGCAACGCCGCGUGCGGGAUGACGGCCUUCGGGUUGUAAACCGCUUUCGCCUGUGACGAAGCGUGAGUGACGGUAAUGGGUAAAUAAGCACCGGCUAACUACGUG